AUUGAACGCUGGCGGCAUGCCUUACACAUGCAAGUCGAACGGCAGCACGGGAGCAAUCCUGGUGGCGAGUGGCGAACGGGUGAGUAAAGUAUCGGAACGUGCCCAGUCGUGGGGGAUAACGUAGCGAAAGUUACGCUAAUACCGCAUACGAUCUAUGGAUGAAAGCGGGGGAUCGCAAGACCUCGCGCGAUUGGAGCGGCCGAUAUCAGAUUAGGUAGUUGGUGGGGUAAAGGCUCACCAAGCCGACGAUCUGUAGCUGGUCUGAGAGGACGACCAGCCGCACUGGGACUGAGACACGGCCCAGACUCCCACGGGAGGCAGCAGUGGGGAAUUUUGGACAAUGGGCGCAAGCCUGAUUCAGCCAUGCCGCGUGCAGGAUGAAGGCCUUCGGGUUGUAAACUGCUUUUGUACGGAGCGAAAAGGUUUGACUUAAUACGUUGGACUCAUGACGGUACCGUAAGAAUAAGCACCGGCUAACUACGUGCCAGCCGCCGCGGUAA
This 500-nucleotide ribosomal RNA is filed under the name uncultured bacterium. RNAcentral describes it as "partial 16S ribosomal RNA". It matches the Rfam family "Bacterial small subunit ribosomal RNA", at positions 30 to 523 of the family's 1533-position model. The record is from RNAcentral.